RNAcentral lists this unclassified non-coding RNA (403 nucleotides) under soil metagenome. RNAcentral describes it as "partial contains 5.8S ribosomal RNA, internal transcribed spacer 2, and large subunit ribosomal RNA". The stretch from base 1 to 122 matches the Rfam family "5.8S ribosomal RNA", at positions 35 to 154 of the family's 154-position model. The record is from RNAcentral.
GAUGAAGAACGUAGCAAAAUGCGAUACUUGGUGUGAAUUGCAGAAUCCCGUGAACCAUCGAGUUUUUGAACGCAAGUUGCGCCCGAAGCCUUUUGGCCGAGGGCACGUCUACCUGGGCGUCACGCAUCGCGUCGCCCCCCACAAUUCUCCGUAAAGGGAACGUGUGUUUUGGGGGCGGAUAUUGGUCUCCCGUGCUCAUGGCGUGGUUGGCCGAAAUAGGAGUCCUUUCGAUGGACGCACGAACUAGUGGUGGUCGUAAAAACCCUCGUCUUUUGUUUCGUGCUGUUGCUCGCAAGGUAAACUCUUUAAAAACCCCAAUGUGUCGUCUCUUGACGACGCUUCGACCGCGACCCCAGGUCAGGCGGGACUACCCGCUGAGUUUAAGCAUAUCAAUAAGCGGAGG